Molecule: ribosomal RNA, 419 nt
Filed under: uncultured bacterium
Lineage: Bacteria
Description: bacterial SSU rRNA
Rfam family: Bacterial small subunit ribosomal RNA
Source: RNAcentral
GGCCAGCAGCCGCGGUAAUACGUAGGACGCAAGCGUUAUCCGGAUUCAUUGGGUUUAAAGGGUGCGUAGGCGGACCUUUAAGUCAGUGGUGAAAGACUGUCGCUUAACGAUAGCAUUGCCAUUGAUACUGGAGGUCUUGAGUGCAGAUGAGGUAGGCGGAAUGUGUAGUGUAGUGGUGAAAUACUUAGAUAUUACACAGAACACCGAUUGCGAAGGCAGCUUACUAAAUUGCAACUGACGCUGAGGCACGAAAGCGUGGGGAUCAAACAGGAUUAGAUACCCUGGUAGUCCACGCCGUAAACGAUGAUAACUGGUUGUUGGCGAUAUAUUGUCAGCGACUGAGCGAAAGCAUUAAGUUAUCCACCUGGGGAGUACGUCGGCAACGAUGAAACUCAAAGGAAUUGACGGGGGCCCGCACA